This 258-nucleotide ribosomal RNA is filed under the name uncultured bacterium. RNAcentral describes it as "partial 16S ribosomal RNA". It matches the Rfam family "Bacterial small subunit ribosomal RNA", at positions 795 to 1052 of the family's 1533-position model. The record is from RNAcentral.
CCACGCCGUAAACGAUGUCUACUUGGAGGCUGUGCCCUUGAGGCGUGGCUUCCGGAGCUAACGCGUUAAGUAGACCGCCUGGGGAGUACGGCCGCAAGGUUAAAACUCAAAUGAAUUGACGGGGGCCCGCACAAGCGGUGGAGCAUGUGGUUUAAUUCGAUGCAACGCGAAGAACCUUACCUGGUCUUGACAUCCACGGAAGACUGCAGAGAUGCGGUUGUGCCUUCGGGAACCGUGAGACAGGUGCUGCAUGGCUGU